This 2995-nucleotide long non-coding RNA is filed under the name Canis lupus familiaris (dog). RNAcentral's name for it is "lncRNA (ENSCAFG00000054447.1)". Lineage: Eukaryota; Metazoa; Chordata; Mammalia; Carnivora; Canidae. The record is from RNAcentral.
UCUUAAGAACAGCUCCCGUCCUUCCUUACUUGGGCUUUUCAAACUCCCCUCCAUCUUUGGUCUAUUUCUGAGACCUAUCACUGACAGGUCCAGUAAGACACCAGGCUGACGAGUGUCACCAUGUCAUGAGAUCUUCCCCAACCCUGAAAAUUCCUCAAUUGGGAAGCUCCUGAAUGUGUGAAGCAGCAUAACCCUCUGUUCUCUCUUGCACUAAGAAUUUGCUGGUCUGUAUUCCGGAUUACCAGUGGAAAGAAGUUUGCAAAUAUAACAAAUGCCCUUUAAUUUCCACUUUCUUGCAUAUCUUUGAAAGUAAGAAACAUAGUAAAAGAAACAGAGAACUACAAUAGAAGGACUGAUCUUGAUGGCAAGAAGAUAAUGGAAGUAGCAGAGAAGAGGGGCUUACCUAACCAAUCAGUUUUUUAACUGCUUGAAAGUAAGGUAUGGUGGGGUCUGUCCCUGUCUGUCUGUCUCUCUCAAAAUGGGGCUAGAAGGAGGGGUGGUUUGAAAGGACUUGCGCAGGGAAGGCAAAUUUUUCAACAUUCAGGUUAGUUAUUGCAAAAUAACUCUAGGAUCUCUUAGCGUAUGUUCCCUAUGGAGUUUUGAUACAUUCAGUAAUACAGGGAAAUUUAUAAAAAGGGGUUUUCAAGAAUGCAUGACAAAUUUAUGCCAGCACAUUAUUACACUAAGCAUAGCAGGAAUUUCCAGAAAGGGUUUUGACUUCCAAAAGAACAGUGUGUCCACAGAGAACAGGCCCUUUUUGGAUUAGUGCUGGGGAACUACACAAUGCACAGGCAUAGUGAAGCAUGAGUCUGAGCAGAAACCUCACCAAGAAGAGCCAGUACUGGCGGCUGGCUGCCUGGUCUCCUCACACUCGUGGCACAUCCCAACACAGUUGCUCUUUUCAGCGGUAUUUUCAGAAAACGAAGGGCUGGCAUUUGUAAACAUGUUGCUUGGGUGGAAAGAUGCCCAAGCACAAAGCAAGCUGUAAAAAUCCGUGCAGUACAUUUUGCCAGACCACAACAAAUAAAAGCAGGGCCCCAAAGGAAACCCAGCAACACUCUUUUAAAUUGUGAGCUAAGGGAAAGCUAUCGGAUGUAAAGUAUAACUACCUGCAGGUGGGGUGGUGGGGACCCAACUGCUCGUGCCAGGUAAGGCCAAGUAAGGCCAGAUUAAACACACCGCUGCCGCCCGCCACCUUUCCUCCUGACGAUGCAACCACAGGACUGCUUUAUUCCUCCUUCAUGCUCUAUUUCCUACACGUGAGUCCAUCUGCUGGGUCCAAGUCCCCUGGAAAGUGUUCCUUGCAUCUCUAGGCUGGAGCACGUGUGCACUGUGUUUCCUUGCUGGGGUCUGACUCAUGUUCUAGGCUUGGUGAACAACCCAAAGUGAGCCCUGGCUUCUUUGCUUUUUCUAUCCCUGGCACAAUACUUGGCUCCUUGUUGGAACUCACGAAGUAGUCGUCGAGUGACCACUGAAGCAGUGCCCCUUAGUCAAAAGAGAUAGACCUAUUAUAACACACCCCACCUUCCUGGUCCCACCCCAGCCCUAGGUGGUUGCUGGUACCAUGUCAUCUUUAGAGGUUUGCACAUUGGCCCUGAAUUUAGGAGCGGAAAAUAAAUGACAACGUCACAGUCAAACACCACCUUGUCACGCCUGUUGAAAAAUAACCUGAAACCUGUCACCUAUGUUAAAACUGUAGAAUAAAAUAUGAUUAUAAACUUAAGGGUCAUCAUUUAUUCAGAUUGUACCUGUACUCCUCAAGAGUUAACCACCCUUGAUUUCAUGACAGAUAAAAAGAAAGGAAGGGAGGAGAGGGGAAGGGGGGGAAGGAUGGGGAGGCUUUAGCCAUGAAAUUUCCCAUCUCUGACAAAAGAACUCUGAGCAUAACAAGGAGCUACUUGCUAAGGCUUUUUGUGGUUUGGUCUCCUCAUCUCUAAAAUGGAAAAAUCAACCCCAUAGCCAAGGCUUGUGUUGAGGACUGGGUAAGAUGAUCCACUUGAGAUAGCUGACACAGAGAUGGUCUCCAACCCUGCAUGCCGGGUCCACCCCCUCCCCUGCCCACCUCCUGCAGCAGGUCAGGCAGGCACUGAAUGCACUCACUGAGCUGCCAGAUGAAAAAGUCCCUCGGAGUUGUACUUGAUACAGAGAGCAAAACAAACAACCUACAGAUCACACACAGGUUUCUUUUUAAUUCCAGAGAGCUACACACCUCCACAACCCUGUGCCAGGAAGGCAGAUAACCGAUACCGCCUUUCCCCCUCCCCACUCCCGAGCUCUCUUUUACUCUUCUCAGAAAAUCUCUUUGCAUAAAACAGUACAAAACAAAACACUCUAAAAGGCAUCUUCCAGCCAGGGAGGGCCAGUGGAUCCUGGGAGAGUAGGAGUUUAACAAUCAAUUCAGCUUGCUGGCUAGAAUAGGGCAUUUUUUGUUCUUUUCUGAAACCUUCUUAGGUGAUGACCCACCGCUGCAUGAGAUGUGUCCAUCUUAUUUACCUCCCUCGUUGCCUACCUUUCUCCUGCCACCACCCCUGGGAAAGGCAACCAGUCCCUGUCUCCAAAGGCAUAUGAACAGAAACAUUCUCUCCCUAUCCUCAAGGAGAGAUCUCAAAGCUUCUACAAAGCAAAACCCAAACAUUUGGGGCCUGGCUUUCUCCAAAGAUCUCCAGCUUUCUAGGUGUUACUACGAAGGUACUUAUUUAUAAUGGUUUAAAGCAAGUCUCACUAAUUGCACAUUCUUGUGGGAGUCCAGUGCCCUCCUCAAAAUUUCUGUAUACUCCUGGAGGGUUUACAGUCACUAUCAUCUAUUGACUCUGAUCUGCUGGUCCUACUAAGUGUCAUUCGCAUUUUACCUCCUGUUGUGAUGCUGUUUUGCCCCACAUACUAACUCUAAUAAGGAAACCAUAGGAGUUUUCAUUUCCCAGAGAUGAGUCUCCAGUCGCUUGGCAGUCUUUUAUGACCUCUGUGAUGGGCAGAGGUCACAUCCUAGCCAAUUCCC